Non-coding RNA from Vicia faba (fava bean), 201 nucleotides. The record is from the annotation of a GenBank genome assembly. Lineage: Eukaryota; Viridiplantae; Streptophyta; Magnoliopsida; Fabales; Fabaceae.
AUGGUCGACUCCGGUUGUAAGAUAUGCGGUGGUGAGAUGGCAUCGACGUGUGCGUCGCGCCGGUGUCGGUGUUACAGUGAAGCUGUUACCAGCGCAGAAGGUGGAUACAGUCAGGCUGAAGGCGGCCACGUUGCUGGUUGUGUACGAAUGGUUUGGUGUUUGGACCAUGGGAUGUUAGGUUAUGGUGGAGUUAUAUUAUGA